Molecule: long non-coding RNA, 1942 nt
Filed under: Diabrotica virgifera virgifera (western corn rootworm)
Lineage: Eukaryota; Metazoa; Arthropoda; Insecta; Coleoptera; Chrysomelidae
Description: uncharacterized LOC126886497
Source: RNAcentral
AACUUGUGAAGUGUUUAUGUUUUUGAUAUAUUGAAAUGGAACAACAAAAUCGUAAUUAUAAAUGGAUGUUGGUCUGAAACUAUUUUCUUGUGGCAUUUUUGUAAUUAACUAUUUUUAAUGAGAAAUAAGCCACAAUUUUAAUAAAAAAAAAUGAUUUUAUUUUUUAGUAAAAUUGUGGCUUAUUUCCCAUUAAAAACAGUUAAUUAUAAAUGGAUGUGAUGGUACUUCUAACAAUAACUCACAUUUUUAUCCUCUUCAAACAGAUAAUUUGACGAAUCCAUGAUGAUCCAAACAAUAAUAAGAAUAAAAUCGAAAUAAAACUAUCUAUCUGUUCCUGUUCAAUAUCCAACAGCAAACAUUUGUAUCAAAUAUCAAUCCAUGGAAUAAUCUGACAUAUUACACAAAUGUCAAAAAAUUUCGGAUACGACAAUCAAAUAUAAUCGUACGAAAAAAAUUCGUAUUUCGUGUCUUCGGAUAUCGGAUCUGUGAAAAUUAGCCUUAACUGUAGACCAAUCAAAGGCUGGCUUUUUAAAGGCGGGAAUACGUCAUCCGUACGACAAUUUUAAAAUUGUCAUAAGAGUCAAUGCUAAUAAAAGGUUCAAAAACUUAGGUUUUGCAAUAUAUUUUGAGAUUUUCUUGGGUAUAGGUAUAUUAAGUGGUUCUUAUAUUGGUAAUUAUAUAAAUUUUUCCCUUAAAAAUCAAUAGUCUGCUAACAAAAAACUAGAAUUCAUUUGACACUUAUUAUGUGUGUUUUAAAUGGAGAAAACAAUUUAAUUAGCACAAAAAUCCAAAAAAAUAGAAGAAAAAGUUUAAAAUCAAAAAUACUAAUAUGUAGGUACUUACUUAUUAUGUUUUUCGUGGAAUGUGCAGCACUUUUAUCAUUUUUGGUGGUAUGCAACAACAAGAGAACGAAUAAUAUAAAUAAUUUAUUAUUAGGUUAAAAUAUAAAAAAGACGUAACAUAAUAUUAACAUAUUCAAACACGAGGAAAUGUUUGCUACCUAUUUUCUUAUGUUUAGAGGCCCAUUUAUCUUGUAACAUUUUAUUAUCCAUUAUUGUUUGAUAAUGUUAAGGUAUUUGGGAAAUGUCCAAAAACAUUAUUUUGUUUCCAUCUGGUUCAGGAAUUUUGGAGUUGCUUUUACAUAUAGCUAUGCUACAAAUGUUACCACCACUUAUCUGAAAAAUGUUUUAUUAUUAUAACAUACAAAACUACAUAUUAUUAUGUGUAAUAUUAUAAUUGUUAAACUAACCUUACACGGUUACGAAAACACACUUCACAAGUCAUUACUGAAUAAGUAAUUAUAGUAAUAUUGUCCUUAUAUGCUUAAAAACAACAAAUAUUAAACAAAUAAACGAUAUUAUAAGAAAAUUCCACAAAAAUAUACGGAAAUAUAACCACAAACAACUGUCAAACUUGACUUUGUCGUACGAGUGACGUAGGCAUUCCCCUCCCUCUCGCUUCCGCCCACAUAGUUAUGAGAUAACCUAACCCCUAUCUAUGAACCUUGUUCACAGAUAGCGCAGGAUUUGUCAAAAGUCAUGUUCCACCAAUCACAAUGCCGACAUCAGCGCCUCUGACUAAACGGAAGGAAAAUAAAUACGAUUACAUGUUUUUUAUUAGAGUUAGCGGGGUAUGGUCUGUUCCUUUGUUUUUUAGUGUUACACUUUUGAGUGUAAGUGUACGAAAUUCUAUGGACAUUUGAGUGUAAAAUGACAGCGGAUGUGACAGCGGCUCAUGACAGCGGACAGUAUUAAACGAAAAUUAUCGGUGUGCCAAUCAAGCAAAGGGACCAGGGUUACCAUGUCUAGGGAUUUUCCCCGAAUCUAGGGAUUUUUUGAAGCUUUUGGAGCUCUGGAGGGAUUUUUUUUGAAAUCUAGGGAUUUAUUAAACUGUGCUGGCGCCAUUUUUUGUUGUUAUUAAAUAUCUUUUUGUUCAAAUAUUA